ACUCGGGUCACUUAAUUUUGCGAUGAGAAUAAUACCACAGAGGAGAUCUUUCAUUUCCAGAAUUCUCUCUCUCCUUCAUGGGCUCCCUGAUGACGACUCCACAACCCUCUUAGACGAACCAGCUAGAGCAGAUCUUAAAAUGUGGCAUCUAUUUCUGUCAUCUUGGAAUUGCAGGUCGCUAUUCGUCCCCCCUAUUUCUGACGACUCCCCG
This is a non-coding RNA of Pelobates cultripes (western spadefoot toad), 211 nucleotides long. The record is from the annotation of a GenBank genome assembly. NCBI's taxonomy places the organism in Eukaryota, Metazoa, Chordata, Amphibia, Anura, Pelobatidae.